UGGGGAAUAUUGGACAAUGGGCGCAAGCCUGAUCCAGCCAUACCGCGUGGGUGAAGAAGGCCUUCGGGUUGUAAAGCCCUUUUGUUGGGAAAGAAAAGCAGCCGGUUAAUACCCGGUUGUUCUGACGGUACCCAAAGAAUAAGCACCGGCUAACUUCGUGCCAGCAGCCGCGGUAAUACGAAGGGUGCAAGCGUUACUCGGAAUUACUGGGCGUAAAGCGUGCGUAGGUGGUUGUUUAAGUCUGUCGUGAAAGCCCUGGGCUCAACCUGGGAAUGGCGAUGGAAACUGGGCGACUAGAGUGUGGCAGAGNGUAGUGGAAUUCCUGGUGUAGCAGUGAAAUGCGUAGAGAUCAGGAGGAACAUCCGUGGCGAAGGCGACUGCCUGGGCCAACACUGACACUGAGGCACGAAAGCGUGGGGAGCAAACA
RNAcentral lists this ribosomal RNA (427 nucleotides) under uncultured bacterium. RNAcentral's name for it is "bacterial SSU rRNA". It matches the Rfam family "Bacterial small subunit ribosomal RNA", at positions 355 to 774 of the family's 1533-position model. The record is from RNAcentral.